Molecule: microRNA, 17 nt
Filed under: Corchorus capsularis
Lineage: Eukaryota; Viridiplantae; Streptophyta; Magnoliopsida; Malvales; Malvaceae
Description: sRNA CCACVL1_02967
Source: RNAcentral
AGACCUCUCCUUCAUCC